Sus scrofa (pig) is the source of this 10348-nucleotide non-coding RNA. NCBI's taxonomy places the organism in Eukaryota, Metazoa, Chordata, Mammalia, Artiodactyla, Suidae. The record is from RefSeq and is a predicted model, not a curated record.
AUCACAGUGAGACCUCUGACUACUGUGUGGAAAGAGGUGCUGUUUCUCCUGCCCACUAUCACCCUGGAAACCCUGAGAAGGGGUAGGCAAAUCAAAGGCAAGAAACUUGAGGAUCUUCUGACAUUCUCGGUUAAGUGGCUGCAGAACAGAAUCUGAUGUUCUAGACAGAAUCAAAGAAUGUCAGACCUGGAAAUGUCAAAGGCCAUGACAUCUGAGUCCUCAUUUGAUAGAUGGGGACACUGAAACUCACCAAGGCAGGUGACUUGUCUGACACUACCCAGAGCCUGGAGAGAAACAGGGCCCUCAUACUACUUGCUGAUUUCUCCAAGGAUUGACUUCAUGAUGCUGAUAAUGACCAAGAGAGGAGGAGAGGGGAGGAAGGGCCCUUAAUCUUAGCCUUAUGUAGUAGGAACUGGAAACUUUCUCCACGGGUAGGUACCCUAAUUUGGUGAGUUUUCUCCAAGUUCCUGGACUGCUCCCAGUAGCAGACUCUCAGCUUCUGAUCGAUAAUUAUCUUCUCUCCCUCGCAUUCCAGAGGUGAUCCUAGUGACUCUACUAAACAAAGCUCUUGGGCAAUGCCAGCUGGCUAGAUGCAUGCCCUCUAUCUGGUCCCUUUCUCUGAUAGCAGAUGUAGACCUGCUUGAAUUUUCUCCUGGAUCUCAACAGAAACCUCAAAACUGGUCAUUGCUCCCAGAAAACCUUCCUACCAGGAAACUUGCACAUAGCCGGCCAUGCCGCGGAGACAAAGAAGGAGCCAAGAGAAACCAAAAAGAGUGUGGUUUUGAUAUACAGGAUUUUAUUCCUGACAUUAGUCAAGUAAUCGUGGGCCAGCAAAUUUUCAAAGCAGUCUUAAAAAAAUAAUCCUUUCCCUUGCUUCCCAGACACUGUGCAGAAAAAGAAUGAUGAAAUAUAACCUUUUCAAAGCUCCUUUUAUCUGAGUCCUUUUAGUAACUCCAUGGACUCAGCUCCAGAGUCUAAAGACUAAAUCUUAAAAGAUUAUUGUGUGGGAAAAUUAUUGUGCGAUGUAGUAAAAAAUCACACUGAGUCUAAAGUCGGAAAAGUGAUGAUGUGAUGAUCCUGUCUGUCAGGUCUACGACCCUGGGCAAGGCAUUUUGCUUUCAGGCCCUGCUUUCUCAGAAAAACUGGAGUAAUACUCAUACUUGUCCCUUCGAACCUUGCUGUGCUGUUCAGAGGAUCAGUGCAGGGAGUUUAAAAACAUUUGGAUACUAUUGUUUCAUUAAUUAUAGUUUUAGUACUAGUUUUCAACAGCAUUAGGCUGCUGCACAAAAUGAAAUGGGUAUCAAAUGUAUAUGCACAUUUCUGAAUGGAUUGGGAAAAGAAGAUAGAAGGAGCAAAAAAAAAAAAAAAAGAAAAAAGUCAUUCUUUUCCUGGAAAGCUCUGUUGUUUAAUCCUUUUCUUGGAGUAAAAAAAAUUCCAGCUCUACUGUAGGGAACAUAACACAGCUUCUCUUUGAUGUCACCACUCACCCCAUGGCCAGUAUCACUUCUCGUUCCCCCCCACCCCCAGAUUCAAAACCCUUAUGUUUGGGCUUCUCUGGUGAUCACGUUAAAUGUUUAAAUCUCCCGCGAAUAUAUAUUAUAGUCUAAACAACCAAAAAGAAGACAGAGGGGAAGGAAGAGGAGAGAGAGGAGAAAGACAGCGAUAUUGUUGAAUGCUUUGAAAGGAGGAUGGUUAAUGAGACUUACACUUUAGUUUGGAGCCAAAUCAUUUUCUUCAAAGAGAGAAGGUCACAGCAACUCCUGACAGGAGCGAGCAGGAGCAGAAACCUGAGCUCUGCUCUCCAGCUGGUGGUGUUACCACCCAUUCGUGGUUCCUGAGAGAGAACAGGGAGGUGAGCCAGGCCUUAACACCCUGUGUUGCAUUGACAAGCAUGGACCUGGCCUUUCAGGUACAGUCCUUCUAGGGAUGGGCCUCUCUUGACGGUCUUGGUUUCCGCCUUGAAGCCAGGGUGAGUCCUGGGAAGACUCUAAACCCUUCUUGAUCUACGCAGACCAAGCUUCCAUGCCUACCAGCACUGGACUGAGCCACUUCUUCAUCCAGCCAGCAAAUCAAUGCAAACCCAAGGUGAGUCAUGGUGAUCCGAAAAAUGAGGUGGGGGCGGGGGGGCACAGGGUUGGGUCAAAAGCCUGAGAGUUAGGGCAGGAUCCCUCUGUAGUAUCUCCUUUACCACGCCGCUCUUUAACUCCUGAGUCACCCUCCACACCCCAGGUGCCAACCAGUACUCAGCUGCCUUACCUAAUCUGGACAGAUGCUGCAAAUGCUGCCUCCAGUGGCUAUGUCAAUUCGACCCAGUGUCUUCCUGGUUGCAUGUCAGAUCUUCUCAUGCACCUUUUUUCAAGUGGUCACUUCUCCGCUGAAUCAAGGAAAGACCAGCCUGGUAAAGACAAAGCCAGUGAUCAUUAGCCAGUGUUGUGCCUUAAGCAAUGCCUGAGUAAUUAUACUAAUCAGUUGAUUGAUGCAGGUUCAGUUGGGAAAUACUACAUUUUAAGGAAGUACAACCUUUUAACUUGUGAGCUGAAGUGGGCAGCAUGCCACCGGAAGGAGGACUGGCUUAACUAGAGACGAAUUCUUUGAGCCAUAAGCACAGUGCUGGUCACAGACCAAGUUGGGUCUGUGGAUUCUUGGAGGAUGCAGGGAGGUAAUUGUCAGGUACCAUAGCAAAUACCAGCGAGGUGAUCGUACCCCCUCCUGUGUGCCAAGUCCAGGUUUGGGCAUGUCAGUUCCUUCUACUGAACUUUUUUUCCCCACAAUGCUGCCAUUCAUAUUUAAUCAAAAUUUAUAAGCCCAUGGCUCAGAAACCUGGAGUACUGGCUUCAUCACAUUAAUAGACUCAUGUACAUUGUUGGCUACUCUCUCUUCCUCAGCAGGGAUGAACAACUUGUUUCUGUUUUAAAGCAUGAAGAUAAAACCCAUUACCCACAUUCCAGAAUUACCCUGAUAAGACUAAGUAGAACCACGAAACCUAAAACUGCCAGGUUCAGAAGGAAAUUAGGGAUCACUCCGUAUCUGAAUCUCCAACAUAACACAUCCAACGCAGUGUCCAUCCUAUUCCUUCUUAGAUUAUCUUCAGGCUAGGAACUUUCUGCUUCCCAAGGUGGCCCAUUCUGUGAUUGAUCAGAUUUAGAAACUGAGUGAUUUAAACUUGGACUUAAUUUAUUGGUUCCAUAUAGGAAGGGAUUUACCACAGCAAGAUAACACUCAGCAAAGAUAUUAGGGACUGUGUGUGAUAGGUGACCUCAAUGGAUGCAAUCAGAAUACGUGAUCAGAGACUACACCCCAAACCCCAAGCCAUUUGUUCAUCCUUGGUCAAUAGAGUGAACAGGAAAAUAUUGUACCCUGAGCACACAGUGCCAGGACUAGAGAAAUGUUUAUAAAUGACGGUAUUGAUGACAAAGUUUGUGUGAAAAUCCUUCCUUGGUCACAGAGAAAGAAACUUGAUCUGAUCUCCUUUGAUUUUCGCUUUUAAGGGAACAUGAAAUUCAGGUCAGUAUCACACUUUUCCAGACACAAGAUGGAUAGUUAAUCUCUCCAGCAGCUGGCUUAGUCUUUUCUACAGGGUUCCUUCCUUUUGAACCUAUACUUCAGUUUGAAAAUCAUAGAUUGGGGUACCUAAUACAAUUUUAGAACUGGAAGUUUCCCAGAAGACAUCUCAAUCUGAUUUCUUCAUUUUAAAACCAGGAAACCAAGGUCCAGAGAGAGGCGGUAACUGACGCAAGGUCACAGAGGCCUUUUGAGAUGAAGUCAGAAGUAAAUCACUAGUCUUCCUACUCCUAGUAAAGUGCUCUGCUCUUCCUUGUCAAUGGUGAUAUGAUGAGUAUGUACAAAAAGUGAUAAUCUGUCUAGGGAGCUUUGGGACAGGCACUAUAGAAAGUUCUAUGGACUAGAGGAAGGAGCCAGCCUCUCCUGGUUCCCCAUGUGACAACCUGGCAGUCAAUCCUGCUAACAUACCUUUUAAGAUAUCAGUAUACAACAACCACUACCAAAUAUACUGCAAACACCAUCCAAUUAUAUCUGCAUGCAAAUAUAUCAAAAUUAUCCUUCUCAUCAGAACUGCUCAUUAUGAAGCAUCUACUAUGUUCUAGGCACUUGAUAUAACUUAUUAGCCCAAUCCUUUAUAUACCUUAUUUAGUUCUGUGAGGUUGGUGUUAUUAUGAUUGCUUUUCAUAUGAAUAAACAAAGGCUCAAAAGCCACCUGGCCAGUGUGGCAGAAUCAAGAUUUGGGUCUCAGUCUUCCUGGCUCCAAAGCCUGUACUAUUUUCACCAUAGCCACCAUUCCCUAGAAUAUCCCAAGCCCAUUCCUGGGCUCUGCUGCCCACCAACAAGCCCCAAACAUUUUCUGUGGCUAGUUCUGGUGUGAAAUAAACUUGAGGGUUUGGGGGAAAUUCCUAGACUAUUCAAUUGAGUUAUCUCUUCAGACAACUUGAGAAGUAGCUCCCUCUUUUACUGGUGUGUUCUUUUGUUUAAAGCAUCUUAAAGAAAACAGGGUAGAGAAAGACCCUAGCAUCUGGUGUGGAGUUGCAAUAUUUGAUAGGUAAACAUAAAGAAAUAGAAAUAAUAGCACUUUGAAAAUAUUUAUUCAUUAGUCAUAAUUUUUUAAACUGCUGUUUUUACUAAAACAUGUUUACAGUAAAAGACUAUCUGCAAAAUAUAAAAUCAGAACUUUUUUUUUUCCCUUGAAGUAGAGUUAGGUCCAGGAUCUGGUUAUAAAUUCUUUGCACAAAUAAGUUUUUUCUUUCAUGUAUGUGUUUUUAAAUAUACAUUUGUGGUUUUAAAUAGGAAAGAAAUACAGGGGUUAAAUCAGCAUUUGCCUUAAAAAAAGAAACACCUAUUUUCUAGGUUAGAGUAACAUUUAAAUACCAACAGUAGAUCAUGGAUUCUGAUAGAUGCAAUGGUCUGGUGAAGUGAGGGAAAAUAUAACUGCGUGGCUUUGGUGGAAUUAUUUGACGGCCCCAUUAAAGUCCACAAACAUGGAAAGUCAUGAUCCAUGUGGAGCUCUACUACAAAGGACAAGGACAAUUGUAAGGCAUUUUAGAGAAGCUAGCCCCUAGGCCAGUAAGAGCACUAUCAUCUUAGCAAUGAAGUAAUUAUAAGAUGUAAGAUGUAUGGUUUCUCUCCUACUUCAUACCCACGUGAAAUGUAAGCAUCCUCUCUUCCUUCUAAAAUUCACUAGGGAUUCUUCAGUUCAAACGUACCAUCAGAAUCAAUGGUAGAAGUAUAAUAAAAAUUGCUAACCUUGAGUGAGUGCUUCUAUAAGCCAGACAUGGUUAAAUGUAUGCCUCUUUCAGGUAUUAACUCUUUGGUCUUUACAGCAACUCAGUGAAGGAGUUGUGAUUGUCUGCACUUUCCUAUAUGCACAAAUUUGCAGAGUGGCUCCAGGAGGAAGAUUUCAUGAGAGUGAGGCAGUGACCUUGAGAGCCUGGGAUCUCCCAUCACAGUGCUGCCUGGCCAGCCUCCAGCCCUGGCCAGUGAUGGGGUCUCCAUUCCUCAGUCUGUAGCCCAAGCAGCAAGGGUGAAGUGGAUUGUGACUGUGUCUGGGGAAGUAAGCAGCUGACUUGAGAUCACCCAGUGCGGAGUGGCUGAGCCCAGAUCAUCUGCAAUCACCCACUGAGGCUCUGGACCCCAUUCCCAGCACUUUUCCUCCUGCGUGUAUCUCUGACACCUCCUGAAGUCUCAGCCAGCUCAACGGGAAUACCACCCGCCUGAGCCCAAGCCAUCAGAGAAUGUUUACACUCAUAGAAUCAAGAUAAUAUGAUGGCCUUAACAAGCUAAAGGAAGCUCUCUGCAUCAAUACAGGCACUGUCAGGUGACAUAGUUCCAUAUCACCUCUGUCUGUAAAAUUAAGGUUCCCAGGAGGAAAGGAAAAUUUGGCACUUGUAUAUACCCUAGAGCUUGGUAGAACCAUCCCCAUGAUGGGUGACAGGGUCAAACUUCUGCAUUUUCAAGUCUUUGGAACUCCAUCUGGUUGACCACUAGUUCUGCCCAUCUACAGUGCCCUGAAAUUUGCCAUGCUUGGCAAUGAUCUCAGAGGGAUUUUUGACAUUUUUUUGUGGUCAUUGUUUUUAUGUCUGAGAAAAGAAAAAGCCCUCCUAAUUUGAAUUAUUCUAUACACAUUGUCCAAUAAAAAAGUCAAUGUACAAAAUGUAUUUUAAAAUACCUUAAAAAAUGACUCACCAUGACUAGUAAUUUAAUAAAUAUUUAUUGAAUGCCUACUUCAGGCUACACACAGUUCUAAGCCCUAGAGAGACAAGAGUGGAUCAACACAACAGACAAAAAUCCUUGAGCUCACAAAGUUUAUAUUCUGGUGGGAAGGAAUAGACAAGAAAGACAUGGCUAGGGAGAUGCUACCUGCUAUGCAGAAUACAUUAGGGGGUGGGAGAUAAGCAGCAUGGAUGUACUGCUUAGGGAGGUGAGAUUGGAGCCAAGGUCUGAAGAAAGAAGGACACCCUGUGGGAGGAAGAGUGUCCUAAUGGAGAAAACAUUUGAAAGUCUUAUGCUGGGAGGUGUCCUGGGAACUGUGAAGAGGCCGGUGUAAUUGAAGCAAAGUUCGUGAUGGGGAAAAGGGUAGGAGUUUAGGUCUGACAGGCAGCAGGGGAGUCUGUUGGGUCAGGCAGGCCCUGAAUGGGAUUAUGGCUCUUACUCUUAAGUGAGUCAGGAAGCUGCUGGAGCAUUUUGAGCAGAGGUGUCACAAAAUCUGACUUGAGUUUCAAAUGGAUCACCCUGGCUGCUGUGUGGAAAAGAGACUUGAGAGGUGGGUAUUAUGAGGAGAAGGGAGAUGGAUAAAUAGACCAUUCCAAGAGUUUAAGCCUGAAAUGAUUGUGGCUUGGACCACAAUAGUAUCUACUGUUGGCUUUAAAUAAAGAGAAAUCCCUGGGCCAAAUUUAGGGAUAAUUUAUCUUUAAAGGCUUGAACUGUGGGAGAAAGUUCAGGAAAAUUUAAACUCGAUUUAAAGCUAUGUGGCUGUUUCCACUUCUCUAGGGUAAUGCAAAUAAAUAUUAUCUUUGAUAAGUAUAUAGGCAAUUUCCCCUUCCAAUUUUGGAAAAUAAAGUAAUAUUCCAUAUCACUUCUCCUGGUUCUUCUAGGACUUGGGUCAUGAAAUGGGUCGUGAGUUGAAUAAUUUAGCCAAUUGUUAAAGUGAUAAAAGAAGGAAAAGAAAAUAAUUCUCAGGACUCUAUGGACGUUAACAGCAAAGUGGAAUCUGCGGCAAUCAGAAAAGCUGAAAUUCUCUCAGAAACAUAAAUAUUAUCUUACCAUGUGAAAGAGGCAGGAGAUUCCACUUUGUCCAAGAAAAAACUGACUCUGGAGGGAGAGAAGCUGUCCAAGUGACACAAAAGUUACUAAGUUUGGACUAGAACUUGAUUCUCACUCCAGCAUGUUUCCUCCUCCCUAAAAAAAAGGUUUCCUCAGAAAGAUACUUUGUUGCUAAUAUGUUAGCAGGUUUGAAUUCUAUCAUGAAUGGGUGCACCCUUAAGAAUCCCUGUCUUCUGCAUUUCUCUAGCGCCUAACAGUAACUGGCUCCCAUCCACGUUAUCCUAGCCACACCAUCUUGGUUCCUUAAAUUCCUCUCUCCCUGUCUCACACUCUAUUCUCAUGUAGCCCCAUGGGGAUUCGACUUCUUCUGCUCUGUUUUCCUUGGGGAAUCUGCCUGGCUGGCUUGUACCCUCUCACUCCACAAAGAGGGCGAAGCUAAGCAGAUAACACCUGGAUGUUCAGAUGGGUUGGGAGAACCCCCAAAUUUUAAUGUUUUUUGUUCCUUCACAAAAAGGAGUCACAUUUUCAAGCCUUGGAAUUUCAAUAUAUGGCUUUGUUCCCACUACUUUAUAUGUACUCAUGCAUUAAUUUUCUGAGGAAGGAACACAGUGUGAAUUUGAAUGUCAGAAAAUGCAUAGGAUUCUUUUUAUUAUGUUUAUGAUAACACAAAUUUAGAAGAAAAAAAAAAAAGACGGGAGGAAAAAAAACUUGAAAACAAGGAUUGGACCAGCUCCAAAAGGCACUAGAAAGCUAGACCCAGCUCUAGGACUCAGGGGCUUUGUCACUUUCCUCAAGGUCAUUUUCCUUCAGGGCCUCUACCAUCUGACCUGUGAAAUGAAGGGAAGAGGAGAUUGGGACAUUACUGCCAGCAUCUGUGGGGGGAAUCUCAAAGCUCCCUCCUAAGACUUUACCAGGCAUAUGCCAGACCUUUUCACAUAUCCCCAGGCCAUUUAUGCAGUCCCUUCCUCACCCCACAAUCCCAACAUCCUCCUUCAUAAUCUCAAAUUCUGUGACUCAUAUUCAGAUUAAUACAUAUUUACCGAGAGCUUUUCUUGUGCUCACUGCUGUACUGGGUAUCACAGAGCAAUAAAAAGAGACAUAAGGCAUCCUUUCUUUUCUUAAGGAAAACUAAUUGGAAGAGACACCUUUUUGCAUUAGUGAAAAGUUUGCAUUAUAGAUUUUUUUAAGGAAUAAAGUUUUAGUGUCUCUAUGCACCUUUUGUAAUUUGAAAUAAGCUCAGAAAGAUCUGCUUAGGAAAGCUCUUAGAGGAAUGCUUUAAUUAAUCCGCCAGACUGCUUUGAAAUGAACAAAUCAAGGACUCUUUGUAAAUGAGGGGGUCAGAGACUUGGAAAACAAUCGAUUCUCUUAAAUAUUUGGAACAUUUUUGUCAUAGUUUUACAAUAUUAACCUGUUCUAUUAUGAAAGAAAAAAAAUAACAGUCUGGAGAUUUUCUGAGGGCUCACAUUUUCAGAAUGACUGGAAUCUAAAACCUGAAUGAAAAGUACAAUCCCUCUGCCUGACAUGCCUUGCUCUUUUCUAUUUGUCAAAAUUAUAACUGUCUUUGAAGGUUGAGUCCAAAUAUUGCCUCAUUCAUCACCAUCACUGCCGUCAUCAUCAUCAGCACCCCCCCCCUUUAAAUCUGCAUGGUUGACCACCCUCACUACCUCAGAGCACUCAAAACCUCUCGCUUGCCUCACAGCAAUUUGAGUACCUGACGUCUUUCAUCCUGGACUGGCUUCCUGGAGGAGGGAGUGUGUCUAAUUCACCUGCUCAUACUGUGCCUUGAUCCAUCUGAUAAAGUUGCAGAGGCAUCUUGGAUUUACAACACCCCCUGCCAGCCCCUCACUGAACCACACAUCAUCUGCAGCAGGAGGCGUUGGAUUACAUUUGGCUGGAGCGCCCGCAUCAACUCCAGUUGUCCCUGAAUUGGAACUGAUGGGCCUCACGUGCCACAGCCAACAGUUUGUCUUCACCCACUCCCCUCUCUGGAAUGAACCUUUCUCUGGGAAAACAAGAAACCUACGUGCCAUCCUGGGUGAGAGACAAACAGGAGCUGCAUCCCAGGAUCGCAUCCCCAGUAUGAUGGGUUCCCCACAGCAAGCCACACUUCAAGCAUCUCUGGAAAGACCUUCUGAACCACAGGACACAAAUGCUCCCUCUGGAGGACCGGAGCCUCUGUGUUCCUCUCAGCUCACAGGCAUCCAUUCUUCCUGCAUUCAGGCUCCUUGAGGAAUGCCUUUAGCUCUAGCUAUUGCAAGCUUUUAAGAACUUAUUGGAACACAAAUGCUCAUUUCAAGGAAACAGAUAACAGUUGCAAAUGGAUUAAACGUAAUCCCUGUGCUGGAGCCCUUGAAGGAAAAGAGAUGGGGGUUUCUGGGCUGUGAGAUGAAGCUUGGUCAAGGAUGCUUGCUUUGAGGACUCUGCUCUGAAAACCCAGCACAUGAAGUGGUUCUGCUUCUCUGAUCAAGACGCUUCUGUGAAGCUUCCAAAGUCAAUCAUUUCCAGGCUGUGCACAUCUAUUAAAGCACACAACACACAAUGAUGUACUUCAGAAAUUGAUACGUCUCUCUCAUAGAAAUGGGGAGAGCUGACUUGUAUUGCAUGCUGACUUUGUGCCAGGUACUAUUCUGAGGGCACGGUUAAUUCUUACAACAACUGAGUGAGGAAGGAGAAGACUCGGGAUUCAAAAUCAUGCAGCCUAAUGCAGAGCCAGCACCCUGACCCUCCCUGUGAGAGCUCUUCAAGGAAGCCUUCAGUGGGUUCCCUAUGGUUUAAUGUUUCAUGAAGCUUCUAUAGUCCAGGCUCCAAUCCUGAGAACCCUGAUGUGAAAAACCCUGGAAUGAUCAAAGAGGGAAAGGUGUGUGAAGACCAUCAGAAGUUACAGAACAAACAGUAACAUUUGUGUUCACUCAAAUCUGAAGUCAGAGAGUUGUAAAUUCCUUGUGUGGACAAGGAAGAGUGGCUGUAUCAUACCAAAAAAAUUUUAAAAACAAAUGUAUUUUUUGUUCAAAAAUGUUCUUCCAUUUAUCUGAAAACUGAAACACAUGCUUUUCCAAUAAAAACUAUGCCUUGAUUAGAA